This 369-nucleotide ribosomal RNA is filed under the name uncultured bacterium. RNAcentral describes it as "bacterial SSU rRNA". It matches the Rfam family "Bacterial small subunit ribosomal RNA", at positions 525 to 896 of the family's 1533-position model. The record is from RNAcentral.
ACGGAGGGUGCAAGCGUUAUCCGGAUUCACUGGGUUUAAAGGGUGCGUAGGUGGGUUGGUAAGUCAGUGGUGAAAUCUCCGAGCUUAACUUGGAAACUGCCAUUGAUACUAUCAGUCUUGAAUAUUGUGGAGGUCAGCGGAAUAUGUCAUGUAGCGGUGAAAUGCUUAGAUAUGACAUAGAACACCAAUUGCGAAGGCAGCUGGCUACUCGAGUAUUGACACUGAGGCACGAAAGCGUGGGGAUCAAACAGGAUUAGAUACCCUGGUAGUCCACGCCCUAAACUAUGGAUACUCGACAUUUGCGAUACACAGCAAGUGUCUGAGCGAAAGCAUUAAGUAUCCCACCUGGGAAGUACGAUCGCAAGAUUG